CUAGCGACAGGCCUAACACAUGCAAGUCAGGGGCAGCACAAGGAGCAAUCUGAGGUGGCGACCGGCGCACGGGUGAGUAACACGUAUGCAACCUGCCUGUAAGCGGGGAAUAACCCGUUGAAAGACGGACUAAUACCGCAUAAUACUAAAUUACUGCAUGGUAAUUUAUUUAAACAUUUAUGGCUUACAGAUGGGCAUGCGCAUGAUUAGCUAGUUGGAGAGGUAACGGCUCCCCAAGGCAACGAUCAUUAGGGGUUCUGAGAGGAAGGUCCCCCACACUGGUACUGAGACACGGACCAGACUCCUACGGGAGGCAGCAGUGAGGAAUAUUGGUCAAUGGACGAGAGUCUGAACCAGCCAAGUCGCGUGCAGGAAGAAUGUUCCCUAUGGAUUGUAAACUGCUUUUGCAGGGGAAUAAAGUGCAUCACGUGUGAUGUUUUGUAUGUACUCUGCGAAUAAGGAUCGGCUAACUCCGUGCCAGCCGCCGC
This 488-nucleotide ribosomal RNA is filed under the name uncultured bacterium. Its description in RNAcentral is "bacterial SSU rRNA". It matches the Rfam family "Bacterial small subunit ribosomal RNA", at positions 36 to 518 of the family's 1533-position model. The record is from RNAcentral.